UCCUUUUUAAACAGCUACAUACUGAUUGUGAUCAGAAAAAAUCUACAAAUUUAAAAAUGUCUCAAGUUUUCUUUGUAAACAUAUAAAGUACUAUGGUGUUUGAUUAAAAAAUAAUUUGGGACUCUCAAGACUCAUUUCUGGAGUUUGGGGGUGAUUCAUUUUUUUAUAAAAAGAAAAGUCAUCUUAGAAGGUAUUAUUAAACCCUUAGGAUUUUACAGAUUUUAAAAUGUUUUUUUAAAUCGAUUUUAAUUAGUUGGGAUGUUUUGCUUCAGAGACUUGUUUGGUUAGAUUUUGUGGCCUAGAAAAAUAAAAUGUGUGUAUAACAGUUGCUUGAAGCUGGUUCACUUAUUUAGGAAAUAUUUCAGCAUGGCGACAACCUGAUAACCUUUAUUUCAAACCAGUAAAAUGGGUGGAAUAAAAAAAUUAAUAAGAAAACAAGAACAAAAAACCCUUUGAUAAUCAAACAUAAAAUACCCCAAAACUUUCAUAUCUGGUAGGAAGAAGCCUAAGCUUAUUAAAUCCUACCCCCAAUUGUCCACGAUUGAAAAUGUUACAGAAGCCUAUAUUCCAAUUUUUGUUGCUACCUGCUUAUUGGAACAGGAUUUUCAUUAUUUAAUCAACAUUUUUAGGUCUUUUUUUGGGAUAAAAUGUUGAAUCUCUUGACAACACAUAGACACAGUAGAUUUAACUGAUAAAGAGUUUAAUGUGGGACUCUUGGACGGCACACUAUUAUUACCCCUUGAAGCUUUACACAUUUUGCCACUACAACCAAAAUCUUUAAUAUAUUUUCUCUGGAUCUUAUGUGAAAUACCCAUGCAAAGUAGUGCUUAAUAAUACACCCUCCAUCCAGGCUGACUGAGCUUGAACUAAGAAUGGUGGAAGAAGGGUUGUGUCUGUAGAUGUGUGAAGCUCGUAGAGACCUUCUAAGACAGUUUUGCAAUUCUGGUUGCAGAAAAAUGUAGUUCAACAAAACACAACACUUUUAAAUAAAGCAGAGAAAGUCAUCUACAACCUUCUCUUUACUUAUUGUUAUGCACUAUGUCGUGUUAAUCUGUUCCACUAAACCCAAUAGAAUUACAUCGAAGUUUGUGGUUUCAAAGUCACAAAAUGCGAACAAGUUUCGCCUGGCGACAGUAUCUGUUCUUGAUUUAGGAGACGGUAGAAGUCCAAAGAUGGACUGGUUCCACUGCAACCAGUGCUUCAAGAAAAGCGGGUCGAAGUUCGCUGUGUCGAGCUGUGGCCACAUCUCCUGCGAAGCUUGCGUUAAAUCAAGUGAGGAUUUUGCUAAUUGAGGUCGCUUUCGUCCAACACAGCUUUCAACGGAUUGACUUCAUUGUUUUUGAUGUCUGCUGUGUUUGUUAAAUCCAUCAGAGCAGUGCAGUACAUGUGGGGUGGCCUGCAGUUAUCUGCCCAUCACCGAUCAGAUGAAGCCACAGGAAAAGGUGUUUUUCAUGGACCCUGGAAAGCUCAUCCAGGCGAGGAUGGAAAACAUAGCGCAGAUUGCCAUUUUCCAGCAGAAGCAGAAGGAGAGAGUCACGGUUCACUUUAAGAACAAAUCCAGUGAACUGGAGAGGCGUCUGGAAGAGGUUUCUGAGCAGGGUUACAGACAACUGUCAGAGCUGAGAAGAGAGAACGGUGAGCUGAAGAAGCAGCUGUCGGAGCUGAGAAGAGAGAACGGAGAGAUGAAGAAGCAGCUGUUGGAGCUGCAAAGAGAAACUGCCGAACUGAAAAAGCCACUCUCUCAAAGGAGGGCAAGUGUUAAAAAAAAAUUUGUCCUUUCCCCAUGUUGAAUUUUUAAACACGCUUCACUUUUUUCUUCUUUUGUGCCGCAGGUUUCUCCCGGACAGUUCCAAACUACUGGCGCUCAGAGGGUUUCGCUCCCAGUUGGCGUUACCUCACCAGUUACUCCUCGAUCAAGAACAGCGAGUCAUGUCGGCUCCGGAGAGUCUCAGAGGUGGACCAGGGAUAGAGGCAUUUCU
Xiphophorus hellerii (green swordtail) is the source of this 1979-nucleotide long non-coding RNA. RefSeq lists it as uncharacterized. The record is from RefSeq and is a predicted model, not a curated record. The transcript is spliced from 7 exons. Lineage: Eukaryota; Metazoa; Chordata; Actinopteri; Cyprinodontiformes; Poeciliidae.